This 582-nucleotide ribosomal RNA is filed under the name Salmonella enterica. RNAcentral describes it as "partial 23S ribosomal RNA". It matches the Rfam family "Bacterial large subunit ribosomal RNA", at positions 331 to 918 of the family's 2925-position model. Lineage: Bacteria; Pseudomonadati; Pseudomonadota; Gammaproteobacteria; Enterobacterales; Enterobacteriaceae. The record is from RNAcentral.
AGUGGAAGCGUCUGGAAAGGCGCGCGAUACAGGGUGACAGCCCCGUACACAAAAGCGCAUGUGCUGUGAGCUCGAUGAGUAGGGCGGGACACGUGGUAUCCUGUCUGAAUAUGGGGGGACCAUCCUCCAAGGCUAAAUACUCCUGACUGACCGAUAGUGAACCAGUACCGUGAGGGAAAGGCGAAAAGAACCCCGGCGAGGGGAGUGAAAAAGAACCUGAAACCGUGUACGUACAAGCAGUGGGAGCACCCUUUGGGGUGUGACUGCGUACCUUUUGUAUAAUGGGUCAGCGACUUAUAUUCUGUAGCAAGGUUAACCGUAUAGGGGAGCCGUAGGGAAACCGAGUCUUAACCGGGCGUUAAGUUGCAGGGUAUAGACCCGAAACCCGGUGAUCUAGCCAUGGGCAGGUUGAAGGUUGGGUAACACUAACUGGAGGACCGAACCGACUAAUGUUGAAAAAUUAGCGGAUGACCUGUGGCUGGGGGUGAAAGGCCAAUCAAACCGGGAGAUAGCUGGUUCUCCCCGAAAGCUAUUUAGGUAGCGCCUCGUGAAUUCAUCUCCGGGGGUAGAGCACUGUUUCGG